RNAcentral lists this transfer RNA (365 nucleotides) under uncultured Microcystis sp. Its description in RNAcentral is "partial 16S-23S ribosomal RNA intergenic spacer". The stretch from base 136 to 209 matches the Rfam family "tRNA". Lineage: Bacteria; Bacillati; Cyanobacteriota; Cyanophyceae; Chroococcales; Microcystaceae. The record is from RNAcentral.
AAAGGGAGACCUAAUUCAGGUAGGAGACGAAAAAAAAGUAGUCCCUACCAAGAAUCAAUCCCAAAAGGUCGGAGCGAGGCAAAAUUGGCUUUCAAACUAGGUUCUGGGUUCACACAAGACCUGAAUCAGGAACAAGGGCUAUUAGCUCAGGUGGUUAGAGCGCACCCCUGAUAAGGGUGAGGUCCCUGGUUCGAGUCCAGGAUGGCCCACCUGUACAGGUGGCAAAAAGAAAGAAAAGAAGCGAGGAAUCAGCACCUUAUCUUACUUAUAUAGUAAGAGAGAAUGCUGGCUCUGAGUAAAGAGUCCAGAGGAACCUUGAAAACUGCAUAGAGCUAGGUGAAAAAGCCAAAAAAGAAGACCGCAAG